CCCUCUUAAUCGUGGGAUUUAUCAAUGAUUAUGUCUCUGCUUGUGAACGUACACACUUGGCUUUCCAAACACCCCCUUUUCUCCAAACCACUCAUCCCAACGGCGACCCUGUUGGAAACGGGGAGCCAAGAGGAACUAGGGCUCGGGUCACGGUAGGGAGGACCUCUUCCAAGAUUAAAGCCCUUCUGAAGAGCCACCUCUGCAAGCCUCUGUGCCUGACUUGCCCGGGACUCGGCAGGAAAAGCCCCCCACCCCCAGUCCCUGACUGUGAUUCUUCUUCUGUAAAGUUUCAACCUGAUAUUUUCCUUGGCACAGAGUCAUCGGAGAAGGAGAAGAGCGCUGCAAAAGGAUGCCAGAUUGAAGAGAGGGGAUUGCAACAAUGUCUGAGUGAGGGGCUUAGGAAAAUCCCCCCCGGAUUCUUUAAUAGAGACAUAGGAAGAAGGAAUUAAGGCAGUCUUAUAUCCUUUCCUAAAGUCUGGAGUGAUGUUAUGGGGCCUUGCAUCCAAGUCUG
This is a non-coding RNA of Anolis sagrei ordinatus, 511 nucleotides long. Lineage: Eukaryota; Metazoa; Chordata; Lepidosauria; Squamata; Anolidae. The record is from RefSeq and is a predicted model, not a curated record.